UGUUGGUGGUUGGUUUUGAUGUUGUCUUCUGUCCUCUGUCUUCUUUUAUCUUUUACAGUCUUCUUGGUCCUUGGUGUAGGUUGUGGGACGUGUGUUCGUCGUGGAUUCUUUUGGUUUUGUGUUUGUUGGCAUUAUGCAUGGACGUAAGACCCCCCUAGUUCACAUUCCGCGCCCUGGCCUCAGCGCGGAACAAUAUAUUGAACUAUUCCUGCGUCAGCACGUGGUUCCAAUAGCGGCUGAGGUGCACAACUUCGUGCUGAUGCAAGAUAAUGCGCGCCCCCACACCGCGCGCAUUACUCAGACCUUUUUGGCGGAAAACAAUAUUACACUAAUGAAGAAACCGCGAGCAACCGUAAGCACGAAUUUAAAUCUAAUAGAACAUUUAUGGGAUAACCUCAAACGACGUAUUACGGACCACGUUCCUCCUCCGCGGACCCAAGCAGAGCUGAUUCAAAUCGCGCAAGAGGAGUGGGACGCGAUCCUUAUCAGUGUCGUGAAUAAAUUAAUUGCAAGUAUGCCGCACCGCUUUGAGGCGGUUAUCAAUGCACAAGGUGGAACCACCCAAUAUUAAAAAUGUAUAGUUUUUUGCUAAUUAUUAAGUUUGUAAAUAGUGUAAAUACUGUAAAUACUGUAACAUUAUUUGUAAUUCACAGUUUUUUUUUAAGUUUUUCGCUAAUUAUUAAGUUUGUAAAUAGUGUAAAAUUUUUUGUUAUUUGUAAGUUUUUCUUAACGGCUUUAUUAAAUUUUAAAUGAAUUAAAUUUGACUUAAAGAUUACAAUUCCAAAAAUUAAAGUUUUUGUCCUUUUUUUAUGCAAAUUGUCUUCGAAAUCGGGUGUUUAUUUUUCGCCACGCACGAAACUCUUCUGUUAAAUUAAAAAGCAAAAAUUAACCCUUCCGCUUUGGCAGGGCAUUUUUCUAACACACGCAUUGGAACAUUGUAAGAGCGCGGCGCGACCCCGCGAGGAACGCAGAAGACAGGGAAAGUGGAAGAGUACCGAGCGGGGUACGAUGGGUUGCCUAGCUGCCGGGCGCUCUUGAAUGCUGGCUCCGUCCGGCUCACUUAACUACUCUUUCAAAUCUGCUCCGAUUUAACAACGAAAGCGUGUGUUACGUAUACAGAAACUCUCCGUUUUCCGAAGCUCGCGUUCAUCAAUUUUAUUUUAUCUACCCUCCUGGAAUUUGGAGCUCGGUCUCACUGGAGUGCAUCCUGCAGCUGCAUCCUCUUAAUAUCAUCUUUGACUCGCGUUGCGUGGGAUACUUUCUAAUCUACCCUUUUCCCAGGGCACACAGCUGCCGACCUCAGAGCAACGAAAAUCCUAACCGUCAAAUUUCCUAAUAUGGAAAUCACUGGCAGUUCCCCACCAACAUUUAGGGGUAUAUAAACCCACGAUUUUCGUUGCUCGUGGGCUAGUACGAAAGAGUUACUCGUUAGAGACACAUUGAUCGUCUGUAGAGUAGUACUCUAGUGAGAUCGGGCUUCAGUUCCUUUCGAUCAUCGUUACCAUAUAGAUCCGCGAAGACGGUUUUAAAAUCUAUUACGGCCAUAAAAGUACUCUCGACCCCCGCAUCGCCAGUGCGUCAACACCGCGCAACACUUAGGUAAUUUUAACUUCAUACACUAACCGCAACAACACGACACUGGACACUUGUAAUUAGUAUAGUUAUUUUGAAUAUAUACUCUUUGUGUAUACUUAAAAGUCUGUAAGAUCAAUCAUCAAACCUUUACUUUGAAAUCACCAAUCCUAGCCAGUGUAACGAUCCCACAACAUAAUAACUUUACCGCUCGAAUUAUUAUUCUAUUAAAUUAACAAGUUGCGAGGCUUUAUCCGCGACGCGUAGUAUUCAUUAUCGAUACGAUUUAGUCAUUGUGUACUCAACCCGAACUCCUAAACUUAACCUAUCCUGCGGUUACCCUUUACUGGGAGAUACCAAUUCCCAGCAGCUACCUGACUUCGCGUCAGAGGCGUCUGCGUUGUCUAAUCUAUCCUCAGCCUUCGGCACCAUUGAUACACAAUAAUUAAUCGUAUUGGUUCAAUUCUCAAAUCUAUCCCACUCGCUGGGCUCACACGCGCGUCGCUAUCGCCCUGGCUCGUAACACGUGAUUAAAAAAAUCUGAAUUUUUGGGGACCUGUUAAUAAAGCAUUCGCGCAUCCGAUACCAUGAACGGCAUUGACGUGGGGUUGCUCGUUCACCCUGCAGAUGGGCCUGAAGUUGGGGGUGGGUUUUCCCUAAAAAACAUUUUCGUAUUUUAUUGCCAUUCACGCGGGAAAAAGACAUCAAAACUGUGUCGCACCGAUGCCCUGGACUAUUGGACAUGUAAUUCAUGCAACGAAGCAACGUUCCAACCCUUACACUUGGGGGUGGACCACCCCUACCUCUGCCCUACUUCAGCUCCGUGGGCAGUUUUCGAAACGGGACCUUUUCGGCAUUCAUCCUUAACAUAUCGAGAACAAAUACGGUGAAUUUCAUCGCCGUUUAAUGUGUGGAAGUGCUCCCUUACGAAGGGGGUUGAAAAUUCGCGAGCUGUUCCACCCCCCAAGGGGUGGCUAUGGGGUGUACGGUAUGGGUGAUGGCAUUUUCUGGAUCGGGGGGUCCGGAGAAUGCAUUGAGCCCAAAAUCGAGACCGUCGUCCAAAAAUUGUGGAUUUUAGAGGGGGUGCAUUUUGUAGAGGGCAUCAAGGAGAGUCGCCCCAAAGGUUUUUUUGAAUUUUUCAACCUCUUCCGUCAUCCCUGGCCUGUUUAAAGAGGCGUUUUUCUACACCCUCCCCUUUAGGGGGAUGAAUUAAUCCCUUCGCGUCAACCUUCGCCAAUGCAACUUUACACACGCCUAGGGGACACUUUAAAAGUACUCCUCACGCAGUUUCAUUUCAAUCGGUUGAAAACUCCCAUAGUUACGACGGUUUGAAAAAGUGUCCCGCUAAUUUUUGGGAGUAGUGUAUAUACGUUGAAUUUUCCGGUUUUCCAAUUUUUCUCCGUUUCUCAUUAUCCAAUCGAAAAAUUGGACGUCUCAUUCUAUAGGUAUUUUCAUCAUCUACAUUUCAUCUGCUUCGAGCAUUAAUAUUGCUGCAUUAGUUCAAAAUUUAUAAGCAAGAAACGACAAAAAUCAAGAUUUUCUUGGAUUAAAUUGUUUAUAACAAGAAAACGGAACAGAGUUGAGAGUGAAAAACAUAUACCUAUUCAUCUACACAUCCCCUUUUACGUAAUUGCAGAAUCGGUUUGCUGUUAGUACUUUUAUCACCAAAACGCUGUUUUAAUUCUCUACCGAUUGGCCUAGUUGUAUUGCUGACGAUUGGAGGAAAGUUGUUUUUGUGACGUAUCUCGUGCCUGUAUCGGGACAAACGAUGAUGCUGGAAAAUUCGUUUGGAAAAUAAUGAAUGAAAAGUUUUAUCUAGACUGUUUGAAGUUUAAGGGGUUAGUCGCAGUCAGGAAAAUGGAAACGGACAAUUUCUUGUGUUUUUUUUAAGGUAUUAAAUAAUAAUUUUCAUUAAUGAAAUGUAAAUAUAUUACAAAGUAUGUCUUCAAGAAUUAUAAAAGAAUUUUUGUUUUAAGAAAAGGUUAAUUCAUUUCGUCAUAACAGGCGAUGGCGUGGGUGGCCACUUGCUUUGCGGUGAGUAAGAUUUCUUCAAACUGGUGCACCUGAAAACAAAACUAAAGGUAGAUUUAGAAAAUAUAUUAGACUAACGGGUCCCUGAACGAAUGAUUUUUUAUUUUCUUGUAUACUUUUUCUUAUCCUGUAUUCAAUUGCUUAAUUUUAGUGAAAAAAUUGAAAAUCAACUUCAAAUGUACGCCAUCUUGUUUUAAAUUAAUUUUUUCCAAAAUCCUUCGUUCAGGGACCCGCUAGACUAAUCUAUUUUCGAAAUCUACCUUUGUUUUUGUUUUUAGGUAAACCUCAGGUGUAGAGGUGUAGAGAAAUCUUGGUCACCGCAAACGUAUGUUUUUAAGUCAUCGACUGUUAUGACGAUAUAAAUUAAACGUUUCUCAAAACAAAAAAUGUUUUUUAGUUCUUUAAAACAUGCUUUAUAAUAUACUUAACUGUUACUUAUGCAAAUUAUUAUUUAAUAACUAAAAAAAAAUCACAAAGAAAUGUCGUUUUUCCUCUUCCUGACUGCGACUAACCGCUUAGGCAGAAAUACCCAGAAUCGUAUGUGGUGCGAAGUUGUAUAAAGUUGUGUGUAGUUGUCAUCGUAGCAAAUUAGUACAAAAUUAUUUAAUGAAUUGUUACGAGCCAGGGCGAUAGCGACGCGCGUGUGAGCCCUGUGAGUGGGUUGAAUUCAAGAAUCGAAGAAGAUACGAUUAGUCCUGUUUAUUUCAAUGGAUCCAAAGAUUGAAGAUGGAGUAGAAAUCGCAGACGACUCUGACGCGAAACCAGAUAGCUGCUGGGAAUUGGUAUCUCCCAAUUAAGGGUAACCGUAGGAUCGGUAUCUCCCGGUAAAGGGUAACCGUUGGAGAGGUUAGAUAAGGAUUGAAUCGUAUCGUUGGAAUAUAAUACGCGUCGUGGAUAAAGUCUCGCAACUAUUAAUUCUAGACAAAUAAUAACUCGAGCAGUAAAGUUAUUAUGUUGUGGGGUCGUUACACUGGUUAGGAUUGCUUAUUCCAAUGGUGAAGGUUUAAUAACGAUUUAACAGACCUUUUAAGGUUAACAAAUGAUUAUAUAUUCAAAACUGAAUAAUUCUAAUAAUGCAAUUGUACAGUGUCGUGUUGUCGCGGUUAGUGUAUGAAUUUAGUUACCUAAUUGUUGCACGGUGUUAACGCACUGGCGAUGCGGGGGUCGAGAAUGUUUCUAUGCCGUAAUAGAUUUUGUACCGUCCUCGCGGAUCUAUAUGGUUAAUGUUGAUCGAAAGAGACCUGAAUCCCGAUCUCACUGAAGCGCAACUCUGAAGACGAUCGACGUGACUUUACCAAGUAACUCUUUCGUACUAAUCCCUCGAGUAACGAAAAUCAUGGGUUUAUAUACCCCUAGAUAUUGGUGGGGAUACGUCAGUGAUUCCCAUAUAUGGAAAUUUGGCGGUUGAGAUUUUCGUUACUCAGAGGUGAACAUCUGUGGGGCUUUAGAGAAAGUUUAGAUAAAGGGUUACCCACGCAACGCGAGUUAAAAGAUGAUUCUGAGAAAAGUAUGGUACAGCUGGAGGGUGCACUUCGGUAAGACCAGACUCCACAUUCCAAGGGGUAGAUAAAAUAAAUAGACGCGAGCUUCGAAAAGAACGGGUGUGCAUACGUAACAGAAUAAUCAGUUAGAAGUAUUACAAGUAACGGUUCCUUCGAUCGUAAAGGAAAUUUCGGAGGCAUCGACAAGUCUUCGAGGACCCCCAAACGCAGGCAUGCCCCCCACCCGCGCUUCAAGGGGGCUGGCCAAAGGGGACCUGGAGGUGUCGUCGCGAACGCCGUCACUUCAGUUGAAAACGUCGAAACGUGAAGAAUUUAAAAACGAAGUGACAUUGAAUAUUUAAGAAUGAGCAGCCUGGAGGAAGUUACAUACGGGAUUGACAGGUUGUCCUUCUGGGACAACAACUACACGAGACAUGAACAAUAUGGGGUAACAUUUUUAAUGGCACCCCUCGGUAUGUCGCAGCCCCCCCUGCCACCCCACUUCUGUUGUGGGCAUACCGCAGGCCCCGCCGCCACCACCAGCCUUCGCGGCGGCUGACCAGCAUCCGCAACGCGAGACUGUGAGUAACAGGCACCGGCGGCAGCGGCAAAAUAGACGCCGCAGAAGGACCGCGGCAAGAAAUGAAAUACUAACGCGGCCUCCACCCGCGAGAAAGCAACAACCGAGACGGCAGGGGCCGAUCAAUAAAUAUAUUUAUAUUACACAAAGUUUAAAAAAAAAUAAAAUUAUCAAGUGUAUAUUACCUUAAUUUGUGUUUCCCAUAUACACCCUAGUCCAGAAGUUCCCCAACUUUUUCCCAAACUUCGCUCGCUUUAUGUCGGUGAAUCAGGGCCUUCG
Molecule: long non-coding RNA, 5943 nt
Organism: Hylaeus volcanicus
Lineage: Eukaryota; Metazoa; Arthropoda; Insecta; Hymenoptera; Colletidae
Exons: 4
Source: RefSeq, a predicted model, not a curated record